UACUAUCCAUAAAACAAGUGUUAC
RNAcentral lists this non-coding RNA (24 nucleotides) under Arabidopsis thaliana (thale cress). The record is from RNAcentral. Lineage: Eukaryota; Viridiplantae; Streptophyta; Magnoliopsida; Brassicales; Brassicaceae.